GACGUGGCCGAGUGGUCUAAGGCGUAGGAUUAAGGCUCCUAUCAGAAAUGGCGUGGGUUCGAACCCCACCGUCGU
Molecule: transfer RNA, 75 nt
Filed under: Polytomella parva
Lineage: Eukaryota; Viridiplantae; Chlorophyta; Chlorophyceae; Chlamydomonadales; Chlamydomonadaceae
Rfam family: tRNA
About the family: Transfer RNA (tRNA) molecules are approximately 80 nucleotides in length. Their secondary structure includes four short double-helical elements and three loops (D, anti-codon, and T loops). Further hydrogen bonds mediate the characteristic L-shaped molecular structure. tRNAs have two regions of fundamental functional importance: the anti-codon, which is responsible for specific mRNA codon recognition, and the 3' end, to which the tRNAs corresponding amino acid is attached (by aminoacyl-tRNA synthetases). tRNAs cope with the degeneracy of the genetic code in two manners: having more than one tRNA (with a specific anti-codon) for a particular amino acid; and 'wobble' base-pairing, i.e. permitting non-standard base-pairing at the 3rd anti-codon position.
Source: RNAcentral